GCUGUUUUACAAUGGAUAUGAGCCAUGCCAAUGAAAUUGAUGUGAAGCUUCUUGAUUUGCAAGAAAAGAAAGGCUUGCUUGAGAGGUUGGUCGGAGCAGUGGAAGAAGGUCAAGAGAGCUUCUUGUUGAGGCUCAAGAACCGCAUUGAUAGAGUUGGAAUAAGCUUUCCUACAAUAGAAGUCAGAUUUGAGCAUCUAAACAUUUCAGCUGAAGCUUAUGUUGGAAGCAGGGCUUUGCCUACAGUCUUGAACUAUUGUGUUAACUUAGUGGAGGGCUUCUUGAAUAGCAUCCAUAUUCUUCCCACUAAGAAGAAACACUUGUCUAUCCUUAAAGAUGUCAGUGGGAUCAUCAAGCCUGGCAGAAUGGCACUGCUUUUGGGCCCUCCCAGUUCCGGGAAGACUACGCUCUUGUUGGCUUUUGCUGGAAAACUUGAUCAGGAUCUUAAGUCUUCAGGAUGUGUGACGUACAAUGGUUAUGAGAUGCAUGAGUUUGUGCCCCAAAGGAGUGCUUCCUAUAUCAGUCAACAUGAUGUUCAUAUUGCAGAAAUGACAGUCAAAGAAACCUUGGCCUUCUCUGCAAGAUGCCAAGGGGUUGGACCCCGUUAUGAAAUGCUGGAAGAGCUAACUAGAAGAGAGAGAGAAGAGAAUAUUAAGCCGGAUCCAGAUAUAGACAUCUUCAUGAAGGCAAUUUCAACAGAAGGCCAGAAGGAAAUAUUGGUGACAGAUUAUAUUCUUAAGAUUUUGGGAUUAGAUGCUUGUGCAGAUACCUUGGUGGGUGAUCAGUUAUUAAGGGGUAUCUCUGGAGGGCAAAAGAAACGAGUCACAACAGGUGAGAUGCUUGUUGGACCUGCUAGGGCACUAUUCAUGGAUGAAAUAUCAACUGGGUUGGAUAGUUCAACAACUUACCAGAUUGUAAAUUCAGUCAAGAACUAUGUUCACAUCCUUAACGGGACUGCAGUCAUCUCACUGCUGCAGCCAGCACCUGAAACUUAUGAACUUUUUGAUGACAUUAUUCUCCUUUCUGAUGGCCAAAUUGUGUACCAAGGCCCUCGUGAACAAGUUCUUGAUUUUUUUGAAUCCAUGGGCUUUAAAUGUCCUGAGAGAAAAGGCGUAGCUGACUUCCUGCAAGAAGUGACAUCAAGGAAAGAUCAGAAGCAGUACUGGACAAGCAGAGAUGAGCCUUACAGGUUCAUCACAGUCAAGCACUUUUCAGAGGCUUUUCAAUCUUUUUCUGUGGGGAAAAGAAUUACAGAGGAACUUGCAGCACCAUUUGACAAGACCAAGAGCGACCCAGCUGCCUUAACGACCAAGAAAUAUGGUAUAAGAAAAGUGGAACUCUUGAAAGCUUGCUUUUCAAGGGAACUCUUGCUUAUGAAGAGGAAUUCAUUUGUCUACGUUUUUAAGCUCACUCAACUUGCAAUAAUGGCACUGAUCACAAUGACCGUAUUCCUACGGAUUGAUAUGCGCCGUGAUUCAGUAACUGAUGGAGGAAUAUAUGCUGGUGCUUUGUUCUACUCCUUCGUUACUGUUAUGUUCAGUGGAAUGUCAGAGAUUUCUAUGACUAUUGCCAAGCUUCCUGUUUUUUAUAAGCAAAGAGACCUUUUUUUUCCGUCGUGGGCAUAUGCCCUUGCCACAUGGAUUCUCAAGAUCCCUAUCACAUUUUUAGAUGUUUCUGUUUGGGUAUUUAUCACUUACUAUGUCAUUGGAUUUGAUCCCUGUGUUGAAAGGUUUUUCAGACAAUACCUUCUAUUCUUACUCAUUAGUCAGAUGGCUUCUGCGUUAAACCGAUCCAUUGCUGGACUUGGUAGAAGCAUGGUUGUUGCUUACACAUUUGGGUCAUUUGCACAGCUCAUGCUUUUUGCUUUGGGUGGCUUCGUCCUGUCAAGAGAGAAUAUAAAGAAAUGGUGGAUAUGGGGCUAUUGGAUAUCACCUUUGAUGUAUGGUCAGAAUGCAAUCGUGGUUAAUGAGUUCCUAGGAAAGAGUUGGAGUCAUGUUCUUCCAAACUCAAUGGAACCGCUAGGAGUUGCUGUUUUGAGGUCUCAUGGAUUCUUUACACAUCCAUCCUGGUAUUGGAUUGGAGUAGGAGCUUUGAUUGGAUAUGUACUCAUAUUCAACGUUUGUUUCACUGUGGCUCUCACUUAUCUAAACCCAUUAGAGAAGCAACAGGCUGUUAAAUUGGAAGAAUCUCAAAGCAAAGAACAUGAUGAGAAGAGUGGAGAAGUUGGUUGGUCACAGAACAAAGGAAAUAGCUUGAUUCCACAAAUCAACUCAGCUAAUGGAGAAGAGUGUACUAAUCAUAACAAGAUAAGAGGAAUGGUUCUUCCAUUUGAGCCGCAUUCCAUCACUUUUGAUAAAAUCACGUACUCUGUGGAUAUGCCACAGUCAAUGAAGAACCAAGGUGUUGUUGAGGACAAAUUGGUGCUUCUCAAGUGUGUUAGUGGUGCUUUUAGGCCAGGUGUUCUGACAGCCCUUAUGGGAGUGAGCGGUGCUGGUAAAACUACUCUAAUGGAUGUACUGGCUGGUAGAAAAACUAGAGGAUAUAUUGAGGGAAAUAUUUCAGUUUCUGGGUAUCCAAAGAAGCAAGACUCAUUUGCCAGAAUUUCUGGAUACUGUGAGCAGAAUGACAUCCACUCUCCUUAUGUUACUGUCUAUGAAUCCUUGAUGUACUCAGCAUGGCUGCGUCUAUCUACGAAGAUUAGUUCUGGAACCAGGAAGAUGUUCGUUGAUGAAGUGAUGGGACUCGUAGAGCUGAAUCCAUUAAGGCAAGCACUAGUAGGGUUAUCUGGUGAAAGUGGUCUCUCAACCGAGCAGCGGAAGAGGCUGACCAUUGCGGUUGAACUAGUGGCAAACCCUUCUGUAAUAUUCAUGGAUGAACCAACUUCAGGUUUAGAUGCAAGAGCUGCUGCUAUUGUUAUGAGAGCGGUUAGGAACAUUGUGGACACGGGAAGAACAAUAGUGUGCACUAUUCAUCAGCCAAGCAUCGACAUAUUUGAAGCUUUCGAUGAGUUGUUUUUAAUGAAGCAAGGAGGACAGGAGAUGUAUGUAGGGCCACUAGGUCGUCAUUCUUGCCAUUUGAUCAAGUACUUUGAGGGAAUUGAGGGGGUGAGCAAAAUCAAGAAUGGAUACAAUCCAGCUACUUGGAUGUUGGAAGUUACCACUUCAGCAAAAGAAACGGCAUUAGGAAUUGAUUUUGCUGAUGUUUAUAGAAGUUCUGAAAUUUAUAGGAGAAACAAAUCCCUUAUUGAAGAACUGAGUACCCCUGCUCCUGGUUCAAAGGACCUCUACUUCCCUACUCGAUACCCUCAGUCAUUUUUCACUCAAUGCAAGGCUUGCUUAUGGAAACAACAUUGGUCAUACUGGCACAAUCCGGAAUACAAUGCCAUAAGGUUUAUCUACACAACUGUCGUAGCCUUGCUGCUUGGGACAAUGUUCUGGAAUCUUGGUUCCAAAAUGGAAAAACAGCAGGAGCUCUUUAAUGCAAUUGGUUCUAUGUAUGCUUCUGUUAUCUUUCUUGGUAUUGAAAAUGCCAUGACAGUGCAGCCAAUAGUGGCUGUUGAACGAACUGUCUUUUAUAGAGAACGAGCUGCUGGAAUGUAUUCUGCCUUGGCAUAUGCCUUUGCACAGCUCACAAUUGAGCUCCUUUAUGUUUUUGCACAAGCUUUGAUCUACAGUGUCCUAGUUUAUGCGAUGAUUGGAUUUGAGUGGACUGUGGCUAAAUUCUUUUGGUACCUAUUCUUCAUGUUUUUCACAUGUUUGUACUUCACCUUCUAUGGCAUGAUGGGGGUGGCCUUGACACCAAAUCAACAUGUUGCUGCUAUAACUUGUAAUGCAUUUUAUGCAUUAUGGAACCUUUUUUCGGGUUCAUAAUCCCACGAACUAGAAUUCCUAUAUGGUGGAGAUGGUACUAUUGGGCAUCCCCAAUGGCUUGGACCUUGUAUGGAUUGACUGCAUCCCAGUUUGGAGAUAUACAGGCCAAGCUCAACACAGGUGAAACAGUGCAAGAGUUUCUGAGAAAUUACUUUGGUUUCGAACAAGAAUUUGUGGUAGUGGUUGCAGCUGUAGUCGUUGGAUUUACACUACUCUUUGCAUUUGUCUAUGCCUUGUCCAUCAAGAAGUUGAAUUUUCAGUGGCGAUAAGAAAUUCUGUAUCAAUUAUUUCCAAUCAGCAUAGUUUAGGCUAGGGUCUCAAUGGCAAACAUGUCAACUUGUUGACCAUUUGGGACUUAGACUCAUCAACUUUAAUACUUGUAAAAAAUCCACCUAAGAACGGAGGGAGAAACACUUCCAUCCGCAUAAUGUUUAGAUUUGUGUUGUUUUAAAUCUUUUGCGGCCGUUUGCAGCGAUUUAGCAGCGGUUUUUUCCGUCGCUAACCGUUGUAGAUUCAAGAAUUAGCAGCGGAGAUAAAAACCGCCGCUAAAGGUUGCAUAGAAUGCCGUACUACAUUCCAAUAGAAAUGUGAGCUUUUACUGUCUU
This is an RNA transcript of Prunus dulcis (almond), 4471 nucleotides long. It is a transcript of the gene named pleiotropic drug resistance protein 1-like, with no coding region annotated. Lineage: Eukaryota; Viridiplantae; Streptophyta; Magnoliopsida; Rosales; Rosaceae. The record is from RefSeq and is a predicted model, not a curated record. The transcript is spliced from 24 exons.